AAUUAAAAAAUGAAAGGCUUAUACUGGGAAAUGAUUUGUACACUAAAGUAAGAAGACAUAGUGCCAGAAAAUAAAGUACACCCUUAGGAGAGACAGAAGUCUCUGAGACAAACUAUAGCCCAGGCUCUGCACUUGGUCUGCAGGAGGGGGACAUUUGUGCCUAUGUGAAGCCCAUAGAAAUCAGUGGGGCUCUGCUUGGGUGCAGAGGUCUGUGCCCCCAACUCCCAGAGGAGCAUAAACUCCCAGUCUUGCAGUCUUACUCAGGCAAAAUUCUCUCCCAUUGGAGUCAAUGGGAGUUUUGCCUGAGAAACGAGUGCGGAAGCAGGUUCCAAGAUAAGAUAGAGUUUACAAACCAAAUCAAAUCAAACCUGGAAGUAAUACCAUUUAUUUUAAUGAGGUAGGAUGAUAACAUAAUUCAGGAAUGAAGAAGAGACACAAAAGACCCUGUGCUAAAGCACCAACAGGAGUAUUAUGCCCUGGAACCUGUGGCUUAAUUAAUAGGGUUAGACCAAUAUUUGGGCUGAUUUCUCACACGGACUAGGAAACAACCAUUGCUAUUUGCCCUUGCACGCUUGCUCUACUAAACACUUGCUAUUAGCCCACACUGAUAUUAUUUUAUUUAUUUAUUAUUCAUUUCAUCAUCACUGGCAAUUAUGGGUCAAAUCUUCAGCAUGCAAAGCCCGAGUAAAUUGGCAGGGAGUACAAGGAAAUGCAUACAGGGCUGAGGAACAGAAUUCUUGGCCCCAACCUGCGGUAGUGGAGUGGAAUGGCUCUGUGAGUGCCAUUGGCUAUAUGGAGUAAUAGUGUAUAUUUCUUGUGCAGGAGCCUUAGGCGUGUCAAUCCAUAUUGUGUCUCUCUGUUAAGCCCUGAGCUCUCCUUCUCUCCAUCCUGAGCAGCAGAGCUGUAGUAUUUCCACUGCAUUUCAGGCCUUGGAUACUCACAGAUUGGAGUGGAGAAUUUUGUCCUAAAUAUGUAUCAUAUAAAGUUUCACUCGACUGCCCCUCAAAAUCCCUCUGGAUUGGGAGAAGGAAGGAUCCCUGAAUAGCCUGCUAUGGUGGAAAAGGCCAUCUGAUGCCCCUUCAAGACCAGAAAGGGAGCCACCAGGAAGCAGGAGUGGUAGAAAUGCCUCACUCUCAUGGAUGACAAAGAAGUUGCAGUGGCUCACAGUGUAGGUUCUCAAGCUGUUGAAAGCUCAGGAUUGAGUCUAUGCCUGCUGGGAUUCUCC
Long non-coding RNA from Gopherus evgoodei (Goodes thornscrub tortoise), 1225 nucleotides. RefSeq lists it as uncharacterized. The transcript is spliced from 3 exons. NCBI's taxonomy places the organism in Eukaryota, Metazoa, Chordata, Testudines, Testudinidae. The record is from RefSeq and is a predicted model, not a curated record.